UUGGUUAAGUUAGAAAGGGCGCACGGUGGAUGCCUUGGCACUAGGAGCCGAAGAAGGACGGGACUAACACCGAUAUGCUUUGGGGAGCUGUACGUAAGCGUUGAUCCAGAGAUUUCCGAAUGGGGGAACCCACUAUCUUUAGUCGGAUAGUAUCCUUACGUGAAUACAUAGCGUGAGGAAGGCAGACCCAGGGAACUGAAACAUCUAAGUACCUGGAGGAAGAGAAAGAAAAAUCGAUUUCCUGAGUAGCGGCGAGCGAAACGGAAAGAGCCCAAACCAAGAAGCUUGCUUCUUGGGGUUGUAGGACACUCUAUACGGAGUUACAAAAGAAAGUUAUAAAUGAAGCGGUCUGGAAAGGCCCGCCAAAGACGGUAACAGCCCGGUAGUUGAAAUGGCUUUCCCUCCAGAGUGGAUCCUGAGUACGGCGGAACACGUGAAAUUCCGUCGGAAUCCGGGAGGACCAUCUCCCAAGGCUAAAUACUCCCUAGUGACCGAUAGUGAACCAGUACCGUGAGGGAAAGGUGAAAAGCACCCCGGAAGGGGAGUGAAACAGUUCCUGAAACCGUGUGCCUACAAGUAGUUAGAGCCCGUUAAUGGGUGAUAGCGUGCCUUUUGUAGAAUGAACCGGCGAGUUACGAUUUGUUGCAAGGUUAAGCGGAAAAAGCGGAGCCGUAGCGAAAGCGAGUCUGAAUAGGGCGCAUAAGUAACAGGUCGUAGACCCGAAACCAGGUGAUCUACCCAUGUCCAGGAUGAAGGUAAGGUAAUACUUACUGGAGGUCCGAACCCACGCACGUUGAAAAGUGCGGGGAUGAGGUGUGGGUAGCGGAGAAAUUCCAAUCGAACUUGGAGAUAGCUGGUUCUCUCCGAAAUAGCUUUAGGGCUAGCCUCGAGGU
RNAcentral lists this ribosomal RNA (893 nucleotides) under Listeria monocytogenes. RNAcentral's name for it is "partial 23S ribosomal RNA". It matches the Rfam family "Bacterial large subunit ribosomal RNA", at positions 1 to 888 of the family's 2925-position model. The record is from RNAcentral. Lineage: Bacteria; Bacillati; Bacillota; Bacilli; Caryophanales; Listeriaceae.